GACGAACGCUGGCGGCGUGCCUAAUACAUGCAAGUAGGACGCUGAAGGAGGAGCUUGCUUCUCUGGAUGAGUUGCGAACGGGUGAGUAACGCGUAGGUAACCUGCCUGGUAGCGGGGGAUAACUAUUGGAAACGAUAGCUAAUACCGCAUAAUAGUAGAUGUUGCAUGACAUUUGCUUAAAAGGUGCAAUUGCAUCACUACCAGAUGGACCUGCGUUGUAUUAGCUAGUUGGUGGGGUAACGGCUCACCAAGGCGACGAUACAUAGCCGACCUGAGAGGGUGAUCGGCCACACUGGGACUGAGACACGGCCCAGACUCCUACGGGAGGCAGCAGUAGGGAAUCUUCGGCAAAGGACGGAAGUCUGACCGAGCAACGCCGCGUGAGUGAAGAAGGUUUUCGGAUCGUAAAGCUCUGUUGUAAGAGAAGAACGAGUGUGAGAGUGGAAAGUUCACACUGUGACGGUAUCUUACCAGAAAGGGACGGCUAACUACGUG
This 495-nucleotide ribosomal RNA is filed under the name uncultured bacterium. RNAcentral's name for it is "partial 16S ribosomal RNA". It matches the Rfam family "Bacterial small subunit ribosomal RNA", at positions 28 to 507 of the family's 1533-position model. The record is from RNAcentral.